Molecule: ribosomal RNA, 1549 nt
Filed under: Salmonella enterica subsp. enterica serovar Oranienburg
Lineage: Bacteria; Pseudomonadati; Pseudomonadota; Gammaproteobacteria; Enterobacterales; Enterobacteriaceae
Also listed under: 1 other name
Description: partial 16S ribosomal RNA
Rfam family: Bacterial small subunit ribosomal RNA
Source: RNAcentral
GAAGAGUUUGAUCAUGGCUCAGAUUGAACGCUGGCGGCAGGCCUAACACAUGCAAGUCGAACGGUAACAGGAAGCAGCUUGCUGCUUUGCUGACGAGUGGCGGACGGGUGAGUAAUGUCUGGGAAACUGCCUGAUGGAGGGGGAUAACUACUGGAAACGGUGGCUAAUACCGCAUAACGUCGCAAGACCAAAGAGGGGGACCUUCGGGCCUCUUGCCAUCAGAUGUGCCCAGAUGGGAUUAGCUUGUUGGUGAGGUAACGGCUCACCAAGGCGACGAUCCCUAGCUGGUCUGAGAGGAUGACCAGCCACACUGGAACUGAGACACGGUCCAGACUCCUACGGGAGGCAGCAGUGGGGAAUAUUGCACAAUGGGCGCAAGCCUGAUGCAGCCAUGCCGCGUGUAUGAAGAAGGCCUUCGGGUUGUAAAGUACUUUCAGCGGGGAGGAAGGUGUUGUGGUUAAUAACCGCAGCAAUUGACGUUACCCGCAGAAGAAGCACCGGCUAACUCCGUGCCAGCAGCCGCGGUAAUACGGAGGGUGCAAGCGUUAAUCGGAAUUACUGGGCGUAAAGCGCACGCAGGCGGUCUGUCAAGUCGGAUGUGAAAUCCCCGGGCUCAACCUGGGAACUGCAUUCGAAACUGGCAGGCUUGAGUCUUGUAGAGGGGGGUAGAAUUCCAGGUGUAGCGGUGAAAUGCGUAGAGAUCUGGAGGAAUACCGGUGGCGAAGGCGGCCCCCUGGACAAAGACUGACGCUCAGGUGCGAAAGCGUGGGGAGCAAACAGGAUUAGAUACCCUGGUAGUCCACGCCGUAAACGAUGUCUACUUGGAGGUUGUGCCCUUGAGGCGUGGCUUCCGGAGCUAACGCGUUAAGUAGACCGCCUGGGGAGUACGGCCGCAAGGUUAAAACUCAAAUGAAUUGACGGGGGCCCGCACAAGCGGUGGAGCAUGUGGUUUAAUUCGAUGCAACGCGAAGAACCUUACCUGGUCUUGACAUCCACAGAACUUUCCAGAGAUGGAUUGGUGCCUUCGGGAACUGUGAGACAGGUGCUGCAUGGCUGUCGUCAGCUCGUGUUGUGAAAUGUUGGGUUAAGUCCCGCAACGAGCGCAACCCUUAUCCUUUGUUGCCAGCGGUCCGGCCGGGAACUCAAAGGAGACUGCCAGUGAUAAACUGGAGGAAGGUGGGGAUGACGUCAAGUCAUCAUGGCCCUUACGACCAGGGCUACACACGUGCUACAAUGGCGCAUACAAAGAGAAGCGACCUCGCGAGAGCAAGCGGACCUCAUAAAGUGCGUCGUAGUCCGGAUUGGAGUCUGCAACUCGACUCCAUGAAGUCGGAAUCGCUAGUAAUCGUGGAUCAGAAUGCCACGGUGAAUACGUUCCCGGGCCUUGUACACACCGCCCGUCACACCAUGGGAGUGGGUUGCAAAAGAAGUAGGUAGCUUAACCUUCGGGAGGGCGCUUACCACUUUGUGAUUCAUGACUGGGGUGAAGUCGUAACAAGGUAACCGUAGGGGAACCUGCGGUUGGAUCACCUCCUUACCUGAAAGAAGC